Molecule: ribosomal RNA, 506 nt
Filed under: uncultured bacterium
Lineage: Bacteria
Description: partial 16S ribosomal RNA
Rfam family: Bacterial small subunit ribosomal RNA
Source: RNAcentral
AUUGAACGCUGGCGGCAGGCCUAACACAUGCAAGUCGGACGGUAGCACAGAGGAGCUUGCUCCUCGGGUGACGAGUGGCGGACGGGUGAGUAAUGUCUGGGGAUCUGCCCGAUAGAGGGGGAUAACCACUGGAAACGGUGGCUAAUACCGCAUAACGUCGCAAGACCAAAGAGGGGGACCUUCGGGCCUCGCACGAUCGGAUGAACCCAGAUGGGAUUAGCUAGUAGGCGGGGUAACGGCCCACCUAGGCGACGAUCCCUAGCUGGUCUGAGAGGAUGACCAGCCACACUGGAACUGAGACACGGUCCAGACUCCUACGGGAGGCAGCAGUGGGGAAUAUUGCACAAUGGGCGCAAGCCUGAUGCAGCCAUGCCGCGUGUAUGAAGAAGGCCUUCGGGUUGUAAAGUACUUUCAGCGGGGAGGAAGGCUAUGUGGUUAAUAACCGCAUUGAUUGACGUUACCCGCAGAAGAAGCACCGGCUAACUCCGUGCCAGCCGCCGCCGUAA